GAGUUGUCCUAAGUCUCUCUCUCUCUCUCUCUCUCUCUCUCUCUCUCUCUCUCUCUCUCUCUCCUGCCAUCUAUAUCAAUAGAUGGAUAGAUAACCAGCCUACACACACACACACACAGAGAGAGAGAGAGAGAGAGAGAGAGAGAGAGAGAGAGAGAUCUUUAUAUCAU
This 170-nucleotide microRNA precursor is filed under the name Marmota monax (woodchuck). The record is from RNAcentral. Lineage: Eukaryota; Metazoa; Chordata; Mammalia; Rodentia; Sciuridae.